CAAAUUAGUCGUACCGGUCACGCCGUGGGUUCCUAGACCGACGCGUGGAAUCUGCUGCUGAAUUUGCUGCAUCGCGCUUUUGUGCAUGAAAAGCUUUUUUUUUCGUAUCAUCACCCCGCACCGUCCCUCUUGAGUCAAGUUCUUGCCAACCUUCAGACACUGGACCCCUAGUGCCACGGACGCAAACUCGAAGAGGGAUGGACUUAGGUCCGCCGACCACUUCAACCUUGUCUUAGGGGUAGCAGGAGGCGGCAACCAUUGCUUCUUUUCGUUCUGCGAGUCGUUGAGGGAAGGUCAAAUGUUCGGGACGCUGGUUCUUUAAAUAUACGUAUAAUUCGAAGUUACUUUGCUGCUUUCUGUACACUUCUUCAAAUUGUUGAGAACAAAAUAAGAAAAUAUUUGAUAAAGAUAGGAACGGAUCAAUUAGUUAAAAUAAUUAUAUGUCUUAAAACAGUUUUAUUGUAUAGAAAAUUUCUAAUUUCUUUAUAAAUUAAAAACAUAGUACUUUAAAUUUGAUUAAAGUCAAUAUUUUUGACUACGCAGUUCGUCAAAAAAAGACAAUUGGUGAUUAAUAAUAUAUAUAUGUACAUAUGUUGGAAAUAUAUAUAAUAAUUGAAUUGGUUAUAUGUAUACAUAUAUAUUACGAUGUAAUAAAUAAAUUAAAAUAUAUAUAGAAUUUUAAACAACGGUUAAAAACGGCAAUCAACUUGUAAUACACUUGCGAAUUUGGAGAUUUCAUUACAAUAAAUAGUAUAAACACAAGUAUUAUGUAUGAAACACCGAAAAGUCGCCCGAUCGGUAAAACCUUUUUCAGGGUAUAUGUAUGUACAAAACAAUAUGAAUUGUGGUUGGAACUACCCAUAACUUUAAAAAUUGGCGUUAAUUUGCCAAAAAUUUCCCAAAACCGAUAUAUAAAAAAAGAAAAAUAAAAGAAAAUUGUAUACAAUUUACUGAUCAAUAUAUUUAAUUAGGUUAAUCUUUAGUAAGACCUAUACACUUUUUUAAAUUAUAAACUUAAAAAUUCCAUUAUUUGAACAUAAAUCAGUUUUUAGUGGUUAAACUAAUAUAAAAAUGAG
Molecule: long non-coding RNA, 1076 nt
Organism: Drosophila eugracilis
Lineage: Eukaryota; Metazoa; Arthropoda; Insecta; Diptera; Drosophilidae
Exons: 3
Source: RefSeq, a predicted model, not a curated record